RNAcentral lists this unclassified non-coding RNA (392 nucleotides) under fungal sp. RNAcentral's name for it is "partial internal transcribed spacer region". The stretch from base 1 to 46 matches the Rfam family "Eukaryotic small subunit ribosomal RNA", at positions 1786 to 1831 of the family's 1831-position model. The record is from RNAcentral. Lineage: Eukaryota; Fungi.
AAGUCGUAACAAGGUUUCCGUAGGUGAACCUGCGGAAGGAUCAUUCACAAUAAUCAAAUGACAACUUUAAUAUAUAUAUGUGAUAUGGUAUAUUGUUUACAAUAUAUUAUGUCAUAUGUAUAAUUAAAUUGUUGUUUUGUCCCUAACAAACCUAAAACAAACUGGUCCUCGUACUACCCUUUUUCUAACUAACCAAAUGCCUUACACGAUGUUGAUGUAACAGUCAAUUUUGUGUUUGGCGAGUACCACGUCUUGUUCUGAUCCUUGGUGGAUUCCGGAGUGAUGAACAUUCCAAUGUGAUAAAUAAGUCCUUACGUGGUGGAUUCCAUACAAGGCAUGUGUAGAAAUACGAAAUAUAUAUACAACUCUUUGCAAUGGAUAUCUUGGUUCUC